RNAcentral lists this ribosomal RNA (397 nucleotides) under uncultured bacterium. RNAcentral's name for it is "partial 16S ribosomal RNA". It matches the Rfam family "Bacterial small subunit ribosomal RNA", at positions 523 to 918 of the family's 1533-position model. The record is from RNAcentral.
AUACGUAGGGGGCGAGCGUUGUCCGGAAUGAUUGGGCGUAAAGGGCGCGUAGGCGGCGCGGUAAGUCUGGAGUGAAGGUCCUGCUUUCAAGGUGGGAAUUGCUUUGGAUACUGCCGCGCUUGAGUGCAGGAGAGGUUAUCGGAAUUCCCGGUGUAGCGGUGAAAUGCGUAGAGAUCGGGAGGAACACCAGUGGCGAAGGCGGGUAACUGGACUGCAACUGACGCUGAGGCGCGAAAGUGUGGGGAGCAAACAGGAUUAGAUACCCUGGUAGUCCACACUGUAAACGAUGAAUGCUAGGUGUAAGAGGUAUCGACCCCUUUUGUGCCGGAGUCAACACAAUAAGCAUUCCGCCUGGGGAGUACGGCCGCAAGGUUGAAACUCAAAGGAAUUGACGGGG